This 404-nucleotide ribosomal RNA is filed under the name uncultured bacterium. RNAcentral describes it as "partial 16S ribosomal RNA". It matches the Rfam family "Bacterial small subunit ribosomal RNA", at positions 28 to 526 of the family's 1533-position model. The record is from RNAcentral.
GACGAACGCUGGCGGCGUGCCUAAUACAUGCAAGUAGAACGAGUUGCGAACGGGUGAGUAUCGCGUGGUAACCUGCCUCCUAGCGGGGGAUAACUAUUUGAAACGAUAGCUAAUACCGCAUAUCAUGAGAUGGAACUGCGUUGUAUUAGCUAGUUGGUGAGGUAAAGGCUCACCAAGGCGACGAUCCCUAGCUGGUCUGAGAGGAUGACCGGCCACACGGGAACGGAGACACGGUCCAGACUCCGACGGGAGGCAGCAGUGGGGAAUAUUGCACAAGGGGCGCAAUCCGGAUGCAUCCAGCGGGUGUGUGAAGAAGGCCUUCGGGUUGUAAAGCACGUUCAGCGAGGAGGCGUUACUCGCAGAAGAAGCACCGGCUAACUCCGUGCCAGCCGCCGCGGUAAUAC